Long non-coding RNA from Dioscorea cayenensis subsp. rotundata (Guinea yam), 465 nucleotides. RefSeq lists it as uncharacterized. Lineage: Eukaryota; Viridiplantae; Streptophyta; Magnoliopsida; Dioscoreales; Dioscoreaceae. The transcript has 4 exons. The record is from RefSeq and is a predicted model, not a curated record.
AAAUUAACUUAAUCCUCAAUGGCCACCACAAAAGAAAUCAAAGAUGAGGAGAUCAUCCUCAAAACCAAUUCCUUCAUCAUUUCUCUUGCAAGAUUUGCAGUAAAAGUGCAUAAUCUGAGACAGAUCGCUCAUCUUGUAUUCAAGAAAGUAGUGAGGGUAACUAAAGAUAGUCGUUGAGGGAGCUAUCUAUGACAUAACUUUAGAAGCCAUCAAUUUUUAUGGGGUGGAACAAGUUUAUGAAGCUAAAGUUUGGGUCAAAAAAUUAACUUUAUACAAAGAGCUUCUUGAAUUUAACCUUGCAGUGGAGAUCAAUGAGGAUCCUGAUUACAUCAUUGAUCUUGCCAAAUUUGCAGUGCAACUAUAUAACCAGUGGCAGCUUUUCUCUUUCCACCGGUGUCUCGAACGAGAAGUCCCGAGCAAGUAUUCAGCAUUUCAUCAGUUUGCAAUCUAAGGCUUGUAAUUAUG